GCUGCUUUUCCGGCACCAGCAGGAUUUUUCCAAGUUCACUGGCCCCGCCUCCCUCACAGGUGAGGACCUCCAGCAUGGCUCCAGUCAGGAGGACUUCCUGUGGAUGACAAAAUUCUAUUCUGUUGUGGAGAGUUUGGGCUCCCCCUCCGUCCCUGAGAGCUGUUCCAAAGAUAAGACGAUACACCUGCAGGAUACAGACACACCUUAUUCUCUGAGUGAAGGCCAACAGGAACCAUGAGCAUAAUACCUGCCUGGAAACCAAAUUCAUCCCUCUGUCCAUCCGGGCACAGAGACUGCAUGAUGGGAAUGAUGCCAGCAGAGGUGAGAGGAGCGGCGCUGUAAAAGGCUACAUGUGAGGAAGGAAACACCGGGAAGGAUGGACCAAACCCCAG
This is a long non-coding RNA of Cheilinus undulatus (humphead wrasse), 392 nucleotides long. RefSeq lists it as uncharacterized. NCBI's taxonomy places the organism in Eukaryota, Metazoa, Chordata, Actinopteri, Labriformes, Labridae. The transcript has 3 exons. The record is from RefSeq and is a predicted model, not a curated record.